UCAGAUUGAACGCUGGCGGCAGGCCUAACACAUGCAAGUCGAGCGGAUGAAGGGAGCUUGCUCCUGGAUUCAGCGGCGGACGGGUGAGUAAUGCCUAGGAAUCUGCCUGGUAGUGGGGGAUAACGUCCGGAAACGGGCGCUAAUACCGCAUACGUCCUGAGGGAGAAAGUGGGGGAUCUUCGGACCUCACGCUAUCAGAUGAGCCUAGGUCGGAUUAGCUAGUUGGUGGGGUAAAGGCCUACCAAGGCGACGAUCCGUAACUGGUCUGAGAGGAUGAUCAGUCACACUGGAACUGAGACACGGUCCAGACUCCUACGGGAGGCAGCAGUGGGGAAUAUUGGACAAUGGGCGAAAGCCUGAUCCAGCCAUGCCGCGUGUGUGAAGAAGGUCUUCGGAUUGUAAAGCACUUUAAGUUGGGAGGAAGGGCAGUAAGUUAAUACCUUGCUGUUUUGACGUACCAACAGAAUAAGC
Molecule: ribosomal RNA, 471 nt
Filed under: Pseudomonas aeruginosa
Lineage: Bacteria; Pseudomonadati; Pseudomonadota; Gammaproteobacteria; Pseudomonadales; Pseudomonadaceae
Description: bacterial SSU rRNA
Rfam family: Bacterial small subunit ribosomal RNA
Source: RNAcentral